UUGGCCGGGCGACGGUUGUCCCGGUUUAAGCGUGUAGGUGUGUGUUCCAGGUAAAUCCGGUUCACUUUAACACUGAGGCGUGACGACGAGGCACUACGGUGCUGAAGCAACAAAUGCCCUGCUUCCAGGAAAAGCCUCUAAGCAUCAGGUAACAUCAAAUCGUACCCCAAACCGACACAGGUGGUCAGGUAGAGAAUACCAAGGCGCUUGAGAGAACUCGGGUGAAGGAACUAGGCAAAAUGGUGCCGUAACUUCGGGAGAAGGCACGCUGACACGUAGGUGAAGUGAUUUACUCAUGGAGCUGAAGUCAGUCGAAGAUACCAGCUGGCUGCAACUGUUUAUUAAAAACACAGCACUGUGCAAACACGAAAGUGGACGUAUACGGUGUGACGCCUGCCCGGUGCCGGAAGGUUAAUUGAUGGGGUCAGCGCAAGCGAAGCUCCUGAUCGAAGCCCCGGUAAACGGCGGCCGUAACUAUAACGGUCCUAAGGUAGCGAAAUUCCUUGUCGGGUAAGUUCCGACCUGCACGAAUGGCGUAAUGAUGGCCAGGCUGUCUCCACCCGAGACUCAGUGAAAUUGAACUCGCUGUGAAGAUGCAGUGUACCCGCGGCAAGACGGAAAGACCCCGUGAACCUUUACUAUAGCUUGACACUGAACAUUGAGCCUUGAUGUGUAGGAUAGGUGGGAGGCUUUGAAGUGUGGACGCCAGUCUGCAUGGAGCCGACCUUGAAAUACCACCCUUUAAUGUUUGAUGUUCUAACGUGGACCCGUUACCCGGGUUGCGGACAGUGUCUGGUGGGUAGUUUGACUGGGGCGGUCUCCUCCUAAAGAGUAACGGAGGAGCACGAAGGUUGGCUAAUCCUGGUCGGACAUCAGGAGGUUAGUGCAAUGGCAUAAGCCAGCUUGACUGCGAGCGUGACGGCGCGAGCAGGUGCGAAAGCAGGUCAUAGUGAUCCGGUGGUUCUGAAUGGAAGGGCCAUCGCUCAACGGAUAAAAGGUACUCCGGGGAUAACAGGCUGAUACCGCCCAAGAGUUCAUAUCGACGGCGGUGUUUGGCACCUCGAUGUCGGCUCAUCACAUCCUGGGGCUGAAGUAGGUCCCAAGGGUAUGGCUGUUCGCCAUUUAAAGUGGUACGCGAGCUGGGUUUAGAACGUCGUGAGACAGUUCGGUCCCUAUCUGCCGUGGGCGCUGGAGAACUGAGGGGGGCUGCUCCUAGUACGAGAGGACCGGAGUGGACGCAUCACUGGUGUUCGGGUUGUCAUGCCAAUGGCACUGCCCGGUAGCUAAAUGCGGAAGAGAUAAGUGCUGAAAGCAUCUAAGCACGAAACUUGCCCCGAGAUGAGUUCUCCCUGAGACUUAG
This 1360-nucleotide ribosomal RNA is filed under the name Salmonella enterica subsp. enterica serovar Paratyphi A. RNAcentral's name for it is "partial 23S ribosomal RNA". It matches the Rfam family "Bacterial large subunit ribosomal RNA", at positions 1487 to 2824 of the family's 2925-position model. The record is from RNAcentral. Lineage: Bacteria; Pseudomonadati; Pseudomonadota; Gammaproteobacteria; Enterobacterales; Enterobacteriaceae.